Molecule: long non-coding RNA, 747 nt
Filed under: Rattus norvegicus (Norway rat)
Lineage: Eukaryota; Metazoa; Chordata; Mammalia; Rodentia; Muridae
Description: long non-coding RNA NONRATT006403
Source: RNAcentral
UCUGCCGAAGGCUUUAUUUUACUUUUGGAAUAAAUGGUUUCAAAUUCAGUGACAUUAAAGCAAUGCUAAGGUAUUGCUUCCCUCUACUGUUUUGAAAAUUAUAAUAUUCAUGCUGGAAAUUGUUGUUGAUUAGAUCUACUAAUUAAACAUAAUAAAGUAUGAUAAUAGCAGUCCUUUCUAUAUUGUUAUUCAGGGACUCUUCUUAGUUGCUAUGAUUACAACUUAUCUUCACACGCCACUGUAUUGGAUAUUUUUGGAAUCAUGACUCCUAAUAUGGUUAUGAUUUGUAUUAAAAUUUACUUCUGGCAAGGACAGAUGAUACACAGAUAGAUAGAUAGAUAGAUAGAUAGAUAGAUAGAUAGAUAGAUAGAUAAACAGGUAGAUAGAUGAUAGAUAGAUAGAUAGAUAGAUAGAUAGAUAGAAUACAUAUGAUAGAUGUCAGACAUAGAUGGAUAGAUAGAUAAGAUAUAUACAUAGAUGAAUGAUAGAAGAGAGGAAGGAGGAAGAAAGAGGCAAGCAGAGAGAAAGAAAUUGAGAGAGAAAGAAGAGAGAGAGAGAGAAGAGAGAGAGAGAGAGAGAGAGAGAGAGAGAGAGAGAGAGAGAGAGACCCAGGUACAGUAGAUGGUAAAAUACUGCACCUUUUAUUUGGAGCUGGGAAAUAAAGUUAGGACGUCCAUGUGUGAAUAAGUACUUUACCAGAGAGCGAUAUUCCCAGUGCAAAUCACUAAAAUAACUUAAAUGUGUGUU